Molecule: long non-coding RNA, 466 nt
Filed under: Phasianus colchicus (ring-necked pheasant)
Lineage: Eukaryota; Metazoa; Chordata; Aves; Galliformes; Phasianidae
Description: lncRNA (ENSPCLG00000005318.1)
Source: RNAcentral
ACUCAUCCAUCCCAUUGCAUCAAUCCAUUUCCUAUUGGCAAAGGUGAAAUUGCAAUCCACCAGCCAGGGAUGCCAAUGUCUUGUAGGCGACAGAGGGGCUCCCAGGUGAAUUUCCAAAGAUGGAAACAAGUUGUGGGGUAAAAAUAUAUGCCAAAGACUACAAUUGCUGCAAUGGUUCACAGGUGUAGUUUCAGAGCUGAGACGUUCUGCCUUGCGUUUUGCUAUGGGAUGGGUUCAUCUUGGAGACAGAUAUGAAAAGUUCAGCUUCCCUCAAAUGGAGUUAGGAAAAAACUCCCAGUAGCAUUUUGGAGUGAAAUGGAGAAGCAGCAGCCUUUGGGCAUCAAUUGGAAAAGAGUGAGGAUGAAAGAUGCAUGACCCAGAGGAGGAGAAGGAUAAAAUGUGUUCCUUCAGAUACAAAACUGAUUGAAAACCUACUGCUGUGAAUAAAACAGGGCUGUUCUUCUCA